This 348-nucleotide unclassified non-coding RNA is filed under the name soil metagenome. Its description in RNAcentral is "partial contains 5.8S ribosomal RNA, internal transcribed spacer 2, and large subunit ribosomal RNA". The stretch from base 1 to 120 matches the Rfam family "5.8S ribosomal RNA", at positions 35 to 154 of the family's 154-position model. The record is from RNAcentral.
GAUGAAGAACGUAGCGAAAUGCGAUACGUAAUGUGAAUUGCAGAAUUCAGUGAAUCAUCGAAUCUUUGAACGCACAUUGCGCCCGCUGGUAUUCCGGCGUGCAUGCCUGUUCGAGCGUCAUUUCAACCCUCAAGCCCCCGGGUUUGGUGUUGGGGAUCGGCUCUGCCCUUCUGGGCGGUGCCGCCCCCGAAAUACAUUGGCGGUCUCGCUGCAGCCUCCAUUGCGUAGUAGCUAACACCUCGCAACUGGAACGCGGCGCGGCCAUGCCGUAAAACCCCAACUUCUGAAUGUUGACCUCGGAUCAGGUAGGAAUACCCGCUGAACUUAAGCAUAUCAAUAAGCGGAGGA